This 69-nucleotide transfer RNA is filed under the name Massilia sp. Root335. RNAcentral describes it as "tRNA-Lys". The stretch from base 2 to 62 matches the Rfam family "tRNA". Rfam says of the family: Transfer RNA (tRNA) molecules are approximately 80 nucleotides in length. The record is from RNAcentral. Lineage: Bacteria; Pseudomonadati; Pseudomonadota; Betaproteobacteria; Burkholderiales; Oxalobacteraceae.
GUCGUUAGCUCAGUUGGUAGAGCAGCGGACUUUUAAUCCGUUGGUCGCANAGAUUCAACGAAAACGCCA